RNAcentral lists this ribosomal RNA (303 nucleotides) under uncultured bacterium. RNAcentral describes it as "partial 16S ribosomal RNA". It matches the Rfam family "Bacterial small subunit ribosomal RNA", at positions 507 to 807 of the family's 1533-position model. The record is from RNAcentral.
AGCAGCCGCCUCGGGAAUACAGAGGGUGCGAGCGUUAAUCGGAUUUACUGGGCGUAAAGCGUGCGUAGGCGGCUAAUUGAGUCGGAUGUGAAAUCCCCGAGCUUAACUUGGGAAUUGCAUUCGAUACUGGUUAGCUAGAGUGUGGGAGAGGAUGGUAGAAUUCCAGGUGUAGCGGUGAAAUGCGUAGAGAUCUGGAGGAAUACCGAUGGCGAAGGCAGCCAUCUGGCCUAACACUGACGCUGAGGUACGAAAGCAUGGGGAGCAAACAGGAUUAGAUACCCCCGUAGUCCCUGUCUCUUAUAC